RNAcentral lists this ribosomal RNA (253 nucleotides) under uncultured bacterium. Its description in RNAcentral is "partial 16S ribosomal RNA". It matches the Rfam family "Bacterial small subunit ribosomal RNA", at positions 524 to 776 of the family's 1533-position model. The record is from RNAcentral.
UACGUAGGGUGCAAGCGUUGUCCGGAAUUAUUGGGCGUAAAGAGCUCGUAGGCGGUCUGUCGCGUCGGCUGUGAAAACUCGGGGCUCAACCCCGAGCCUGCAGUCGAUACGGGCAGACUAGAGUGCUGUAGGGGAGACUGGAAUUCCUGGUGUAGCGGUGAAAUGCGCAGAUAUCAGGAGGAACACCGGUGGCGAAGGCGGGUCUCUGGGCCUGUACUGACGCUGAGGAACGAAAGCGUGGGGAGCGAACAGG